AUUGAACGCUAGCGGGAUGCUUUACACAUGCAAGUCGAACGGCAGCGCGGACUUCGGUCUGGCGGCGAGUGGCGAACGGGUGAGUAAUGUAUCGGAACGUGCCCAGUAGCGGGGGAUAACUACGCGAAAGCGUAGCUAAUACCGCAUACGCCCUACGGGGGAAAGCAGGGGAUCGUAAGACCUUGCACUAUUUGAGCGGCCGAUAUCGGAUUAGCUAGUUGGUUAGGUAACGGCUCACCAAGGCGACGAUCCGUAGCUGGUUUGAGAGGACGACCAGCCACACUGGGACUGAGACACGGCCCAGACUCCUACGGGAGGCAGCAGUGGGGAAUUUUGGACAAUGGGGGCAACCCUGAUCCAGCCAUCCCGCGUGUGGGAUGAAGGCCUUCGGGUUGUAAAGCACUUUUGGCAGGAAAGAAACGUCGCGGGCUAAUACCCCGUGGAACUGACGGUACCUGCAGAAUAAGCACCGGCUAACUACGUG
This 484-nucleotide ribosomal RNA is filed under the name uncultured bacterium. RNAcentral describes it as "partial 16S ribosomal RNA". It matches the Rfam family "Bacterial small subunit ribosomal RNA", at positions 30 to 507 of the family's 1533-position model. The record is from RNAcentral.